GACGAACGCUGGCGGCGUGCUUAACACAUGCAAGUCGAACGGAAAGGCCCUGCUUUUGUGGGGUGCUCGAGUGGCGAACGGGUGAGUAACACGUGAGUAACCUGCCCUUGACUUUGGGAUAACUUCAGGAAACUGGGGCUAAUACCGGAUAGGAGCUCCUGCUGCAUGGUGGGGGUUGGAAAGUUUCGGCGGUUGGGGAUGGACUCGCGGCUUAUCAGCUUGUUGGUGGGGUAGUGGCUUACCAAGGCUUUGACGGGUAGCCGGCCUGAGAGGGUGACCGGCCACAUUGGGACUGAGAUACGGCCCAGACUCCUACGGGAGGCAGCAGUGGGGAAUAUUGCACAAUGGGCGGAAGCCUGAUGCAGCAACGCGCGUGCGGGAUGACGGCCUUCGGGUUGUAAACCGCUUUCGCCUGUGACGAAGCGUGAGUGACGGUAAUGGGUAAAGAAGCACCGGCUAACUACGUG
Molecule: ribosomal RNA, 467 nt
Filed under: uncultured bacterium
Lineage: Bacteria
Description: partial 16S ribosomal RNA
Rfam family: Bacterial small subunit ribosomal RNA
Source: RNAcentral